Molecule: ribosomal RNA, 460 nt
Filed under: uncultured bacterium
Lineage: Bacteria
Description: partial 16S ribosomal RNA
Rfam family: Bacterial small subunit ribosomal RNA
Source: RNAcentral
CCUACGGGAGGCAGCAGUGAGGAAUAUUGGUCAAUGGGCGGAAGCCUGAACCAGCCAAGUCGCGUGAGGGAUUAAGGCCCUGCGGGUCGUAAACCUCUUUUGCCGGGGAGCAGAGGUCCGGACGUGUCCGGGCCGGGAGAGUACCCGGAGAAAAAGCAUCGGCUAACUCCGUGCCAGCAGCCGCGGUAAUACGGGGGAGGCGAGCGUUAUCCGGAUUUAUUGGGUUUAAAGGGUGCGUAGGCGGGCAUUUAAGCCGGCGGUCAAAUGUCGGGGCUCAACCCCGGCCUGCCGUCGGAACUGGGUGCCUUGAGUGGGCGAGAAGUAUGUGGAAUGCGUGGUGUAGCGGUGAAAUGCAUAGAUAUCACGCAGAACCCCGAUUGCGAAGGCAGCAUACCGGCGCCCUACUGACGCUGAGGCACGAAAGUGCGGGUAUCGAACAGGAUUAGAUACCUUGGUAGUC